GAAUUUAAGCAUAUAAUUAAGCGGAGGAAAAGAAACUAACCAGGAUUCCCUCAGUAAGGGCGACUGAAGCGGGAAGAGCUCAAACCGAAGAAUUGUGGUGUGUUUGCGCUAUCGGGCCGGCCAAAGUCCCUUGGAACAGGGCAGCGUAGAGGGUGAGACUCCCGUUUGGCUGGUCCUUGGAGCAUGCAUGUUUGAGUCGAGUUGUUUGGGAUUGCAGCUCAAAGUGGGUGGUAAAUUCCAUCGAAAGCUAAAUAUUGGUGGGAGACCGAUAGCGUACAAGUACCGUGAGGGAAAGAUGCAAAGAACUUUGAAAAGAGAGUUAAAGAGUACCUGAAAUUGCUGAAAUGGAAGCGAAGGAAACCAGUGUCGUGCGUGUUAUAUUUCCUUGUCCAUUUAUGGGCUUGGCGCUGUGGCUGCACUGGUCAAGGUUGGUUUGUUGGGGUUCAAAUCGGACCCCGUCGGACCGAGUCUUGACGAAAUGGUUUUCUUUCCCCCGUCUUGAAACACGGACCAAGGAGUCUAACAUAUGUGCGAGUACAGGGGUGUCAAACCCCGGUGCGCAAUGAAAGUGACAGUGGUUGUAUUCUGUAAUAAGUUGCACAAUCCGCCGGCCUCAAUCCCUCGGGAGAACGGUCUGAGUGUGAGCAUACAUGUUGGGACCCGAAAGAUGGUGAACUAUGCCUGAAUAGGGUAAAGCCAGGGGAAACUCUGGUGGAGGCUCGUAGCGAUUCUGACGUGCAAAUCGAUCGUCAAAUUUGGG
Molecule: ribosomal RNA, 760 nt
Filed under: Fragilaria capucina
Lineage: Eukaryota; Bacillariophyta; Fragilariophyceae; Fragilariales; Fragilariaceae
Description: LSU rRNA
Rfam family: Eukaryotic large subunit ribosomal RNA
Source: RNAcentral